CCCAGACAUGCCCGGGCGCGAGCAGCGGCUGCAGCGCGGCUAAAACAGCCGAGACAAAAUGCAAAGUUUCGACACUUUCAUUACAACUAUGAGUGUUUUUCUAACGUUAGUC
Molecule: long non-coding RNA, 112 nt
Organism: Sander lucioperca (pikeperch)
Lineage: Eukaryota; Metazoa; Chordata; Actinopteri; Perciformes; Percidae
Exons: 3
Source: RefSeq, a predicted model, not a curated record